UUCAACAAUGGAUCUCUUGGUUCCGGCAUCGAUGAAGAACGCAGCGAAAUGCGAUAACUAAUGUGAAUUGCAGAAUUCAGUGAAUCAUCGAGUCUUUGAACGCACAUUGCGCCCCCUGGUAUUCCGGGGGGCAUGCCUGUCCGAGCGUCAUUG
RNAcentral lists this ribosomal RNA (153 nucleotides) under Aspergillus terreus. Its description in RNAcentral is "5.8S ribosomal RNA". It matches the Rfam family "5.8S ribosomal RNA". From Rfam's summary of the family: 5.8S ribosomal RNA (5.8S rRNA) is a component of the large subunit of the eukaryotic ribosome. The record is from RNAcentral. Lineage: Eukaryota; Fungi; Ascomycota; Eurotiomycetes; Eurotiales; Aspergillaceae.